GAGAAGGAGAUCUGUGAACUCGGAGUGGACGGGGGGCUGACACAGAGAGUUGACUCGGACUCCAGCGUUGUAUCGAAGCCUAUAUAAAUCCCAAAAUUCCCCAAACGCCCCCAUUAUGAUCAUUUCCAAUUCCGAUUCCUAUAUCUAAUUUUCCUAACAUUCAGACAAAAAGCAAGCCACGGCGAUUUAGCAAAAAUCCGAAAUAACUGUCAGCCAAAAUUCUAUGGGAAAAUCAGAGAAUCCGAAAUCCAAUCUCGCGCCUUACGGCAAUUCCUCUGCCAAAGUUCACCCGUCGAACGACCCUGAAAUCGAUCCUAAUUCCUACUCGCUCGAGAAGUUUAGGCUUUAUGAGACCAGACAGAGAUUUUAUCUAAUUGGUAGUGAUCGGAGCAAGAGGUUCUUUCGGGUAUUGAAGAUUGAUCGCUCGGAGCCUUCUGAUCUAAAUAUCAGUGAAGACCCAGUAGUUUAUUCACCACAAGAAAUCAAGAGCUUGCUUCAGCGAAUUGCUGAAGGCAAUCGUGCCACUGGAGGUUUAAACUUUGUGGCAAAGGUUUAUGGAAUUGCUGGUUGCAUUAAGUUUAUGGAGUCAUAUUAUUUGAUUCUGGUUACAAGGCGUCGGCAAAUAGGAUGUAUAUGUGGUCAUGCAAUAUAUAGCAUAGAUGAAAGCCAAUUGAUUACAAUUCCGCAUGCUUCCAUUCAAACUGAUGCGGCACAUUCUAAAACUGAGCUAAGGUAUAAAAAGCUAUUAUCCAGUGUGGAUUUGACUAAAGAUUUCUUCUUUAGUUAUACAUAUCCUAUAAUGCAAAGCUUGCAAAAAAAUGUGCUGUCAAUGGAUAAAGAUAGGAUGCCGUACGAUAACAUGUUUGUGUGGAAUGAGUAUCUGACGAAAGCUAUUCGGUCAAGAUGUGGCAAUACCAUUUGGACAAUAGCAUUAGUCCAUGGGCAUUUUAAGCAGAUUAGGCUAUCAAUCUUUGGGAGGGACUUCAGUGUUUCGCUGGUUUCUAGACGCUCUCGACAUUUUGCUGGGACCCGUUACUUGAAAAGGGGAGUGAAUGAUUGGGGAAGAGUUGCAAACGAGGUUGAGACGGAGCAAAUUGUUCUUGAUGAAGAAGCUGGAUCAUGCAAGGGCAGAAUGAGUUCUGUUGUGCAGAUACGUGGUUCAAUUCCCCUUUUCUGGUCACAAGAAGCUUCAAGAUUUAGUCCUAAACCUGAUAUAAUCUGUAACGACACUUGGGCUUUGAUACCUUUGACUAUUUUGUCGUUUAGUAUUAUAGAUCUAUGCAAUAUGAUGUAUAGCUUCACAAAAAUACAUCUUCUAACUCUUAUUUCCUAUUCUACAUCAGUGCAAAGGUAUGAUCCUACCUACCAGGCAACCAAAUUGCAUUUCGAGGACUUGACAAAGAGAUAUGGAAAUCCAAUAA
RNAcentral lists this unclassified non-coding RNA (1421 nucleotides) under Hevea brasiliensis (rubber tree). Lineage: Eukaryota; Viridiplantae; Streptophyta; Magnoliopsida; Malpighiales; Euphorbiaceae. The record is from RNAcentral.